UCAGGCCUAACACAUGCAAGUCGAACGGUAGAGGGGCAACCCUUGAGAGUGGCGAACGGGUGAGUAAUGCAUCGGAACGUGCCCAGUAGUGGGGGAUAGCCCGGCGAAAGCCGGAUUAAUACCGCAUGAGACCUGAGGGUGAAAGCGGGGGAUCGCAAGACCUCGCGCUAUUGGAGCGGCCGAUGUCAGAUUAGCUAGUUGGUGGGGUAAAGGCCUACCAAGGCGACGAUCUGUAGCUGGUCUGAGAGGACGACCAGCCACACUGGGACUGAGACACGGCCCAGACUCCUACGGGAGGCAGCAGUGGGGAAUUUUGGACAAUGGGCGCAAGCCUGAUCCAGCCAUGCCGCGUGCGGGAAGAAGGCCUUCGUGUUGUAAACCGCUUUUGUCAGGGAAGAAAUCUUCUGGGC
RNAcentral lists this ribosomal RNA (410 nucleotides) under uncultured bacterium. RNAcentral's name for it is "bacterial SSU rRNA". It matches the Rfam family "Bacterial small subunit ribosomal RNA", at positions 42 to 460 of the family's 1533-position model. The record is from RNAcentral.